This 73-nucleotide transfer RNA is filed under the name bacterium. RNAcentral's name for it is "tRNA-Phe". It matches the Rfam family "tRNA". From Rfam's summary of the family: Transfer RNA (tRNA) molecules are approximately 80 nucleotides in length. Their secondary structure includes four short double-helical elements and three loops (D, anti-codon, and T loops). RNAcentral also lists the same sequence under 2 other names. The record is from RNAcentral.
GCCGCAAUAGCUCAGUUGGUAGAGCAAGGGACUGAAAAUCCCUGUGUCCUUGGUUCGAUUCCGAGUUGCGGCA